UGAACUUUCCACUCUCACACUCGUUCUUCUCUUACAACAGAGCUUUACGAUCCGAAAACCUUCUUCACUCACGCGGCGUUGCUCGGUCAGACUUCCGUCCAUUGCCGAAGAUUCCC
Molecule: ribosomal RNA, 116 nt
Filed under: uncultured bacterium
Lineage: Bacteria
Description: partial 16S ribosomal RNA
Source: RNAcentral